UACGGAGGGGGUUAGCGUUGUUCGGAAUUACUGGGCGUAAAGCGCGCGUAGGCGGUUUUUCAAGUCAGAUGUGAAAUCCCCGGGCUUAACCUGGGAACUGCAUUUGAUACUGGAUGACUAGAGGCCGGGAGAGGGUAGUGGAAUUCCCAGUGUAGAGGUGAAAUUCGUAGAUAUUGGGAAGAACACCGGUGGCGAAGGCGGCUACCUGGACCGGUACUGACGCUGAGGUGCGAAAGCGUGGGGAGCAAACAGG
This 253-nucleotide ribosomal RNA is filed under the name uncultured Rhodospirillaceae bacterium. RNAcentral's name for it is "partial 16S ribosomal RNA". It matches the Rfam family "Bacterial small subunit ribosomal RNA", at positions 524 to 776 of the family's 1533-position model. The record is from RNAcentral. Lineage: Bacteria; Pseudomonadati; Pseudomonadota; Alphaproteobacteria; Rhodospirillales; Rhodospirillaceae.